UGCUCAGCCUGUGCGCGAGGUGCCCGGCCCCCUUUAUGGUGGCAUCGGGUGAAACUGGGAAGCAGGUUAUUCCUGCGCUGCCCCCGCAACGGUAGGUGCUUUCAUCUUGAUGGAGCACAAGCCCGGAGACCGGCCUCAAGCUUUUUCCACAU
RNAcentral lists this non-coding RNA (152 nucleotides) under Halothiobacillus neapolitanus. The record is from RNAcentral. Lineage: Bacteria; Pseudomonadati; Pseudomonadota; Gammaproteobacteria; Chromatiales; Halothiobacillaceae. RNAcentral also lists the same sequence under 1 other name.